CACGUAGGGCGCGAGCGUUGUCCGGAAUUAUUGGGCGUAAAGAGCUCGUAGGCGGCCUGUUGCGUCCGCUGUGAAAGCCCGGGGCUUAACCCCGGGUCGGCAGUGGAUACGGGCAGGCUAGAGGUAGGUAGGGGAGAAUGGAAUUCCCGGUGUAGCGGUGAAAUGCGCAGAUAUCGGGAGGAACACCGGUGGCGAAGGCGGUUCUCUGGGCCUUACCUGACGCUGAGGCGCGAAAGCUAGGGGAGCAAACGGG
Molecule: ribosomal RNA, 253 nt
Filed under: uncultured bacterium
Lineage: Bacteria
Description: partial 16S ribosomal RNA
Rfam family: Bacterial small subunit ribosomal RNA
Source: RNAcentral